This is an RNA transcript of Dermochelys coriacea (leatherback sea turtle), 2841 nucleotides long. It is a transcript of the gene named tubulin gamma complex associated protein 4, with no coding region annotated. Lineage: Eukaryota; Metazoa; Chordata; Testudines; Dermochelyidae. The transcript has 20 exons. The record is from RefSeq and is a predicted model, not a curated record.
ACUACAUUUCCCAGUGGCCUUUGCGGGAGCAGACUUCCCCUUCGAUCUGUGAGAGGACCGGGACUACACUUCCCAGGGGGCUUUGCGGAACUCGCUGGGCGCAUGGAAGCCGUCGGCCGCUGGUUUCAGCUCCCAGGAUGAUUCACGAGCUGCUCUUGGCGCUGAGCGGGUACCCCGGGGCCGCGUUCACCUGGAGCAAGAGAAGCGGCCUCCAGGUGUCCCAGGAGCUGCCGUUCCUGCACCCCAGUGAGAGCAGCGUCCUGAACCGGCUCUGCCGCCUCGGCACCGACUACAUUCGCUUCACCGAGUUCAUCGAGCAGUACACGGGCCACGUGCAACAGCAGGAUCAUCACCCUUCCCAGCAGAACCAGUGUGGGUUACAUGGGAUUUACUUGCGGGCCUUCUGUACAGGGCUCGAUUCAGUGCUGCAGCCCUAUCGACAGGCAUUGCUUGACCUGGAGCAGGAGUUCCUGGCUGACCCUCACCUCUCCAUCUCCCACAUUAACUACUCCCUGGAUCAGUUCCAACUCCUCUUUCCCUCGGUGAUGGUUGUGGUGGAGCAGAUCAAGACCCAGAAGAUUCAUGGCUGUCAGCUCCUGGAGACUGUACAUAAACACAGCUGUGGGGGGCUGCCCCCUGUGCGUAGUGCACUGGAAAAGAUCCUGGCUGUGUGUCAUGGAGUCAUGUAUAAGCAGCUCUCUGCCUGGAUGCUGCAUGGACUGCUCCUAGAUCAACAUGAAGAGUUCUUUGUUAAACAGGGCCCAUCUUCUGGGAAUGUCCCUGCCCAGCCUGAAGAAGAGGACGACGACCUGGGAAUUGGGGGACUAACAGGAAAACAGCUGCGAGAGCUGCAGGACCUGCGCCUGAUUGAGGAAGAGAACAUGUUAGCACCAUCUCUGAAACAGUUUUCUCUGCGAGUGGAAAUGUUACCAUCAUACAUACCUGUGCGGGUUGCUGAGAAAAUCCUCUUUGUGGGAGAAUCAGUACAGAUGUUUGAGAAUCAAAAUGUGAACCUGACCAGAAAAGGCUCUAUCUUGAAGAACCAGGAAGACACUUUUGCUGCAGAGCUACACCGCCUCAAGCAGCAGCCACUCUUUAGUCUGGUGGACUUUGAGGCUGUGGUUGACUGGAUUCGGAGCACAGUUGCUGAGCACCUAUGGAAGCUGAUGGUAGAAGAAUCAGAUUUACUAGGACAACUGAAGAUUAUUAAGGAUUUUUAUCUAUUGGGGAGAGGAGAAUUGUUCCAAGCCUUCAUAGACACUGCACAGCACAUGUUAAAAACCCCACCCACAGCUGUAACUGAACAUGAUGUCAAUGUGGCGUUCCAGCAGUCUGCUCACAAGGUGUUGCUAGAUGAUGAUAAUCUCCUACCUUUAGUCCACCUUACCAUUGAGUAUCAUGGAAAAGAGCAUAAAGAUGCUUCUCAGGCUCGGGAAGGGCCUUCCCGGGAGUUAUCUCCCCGUGAAGCCCCCACAUCUGGUUGGGCAGCUCUGGGACUCUCUUAUAAAGUGCAGUGGCCAUUGCAUAUCCUCUUCACUCCUGCUGUCUUGGAGAAAUACAACGUUGUAUUCAAAUACCUGCUGAGUGUGAGGCGGGUCCAGGCUGAGUUGCAGCAUUGCUGGGCUCUCCAGAUGCAGCGCAAGCACCUGAAGUCCAACAGAACUGAUGCCAUCAAGUGGCGUUUGAGGGAUCACAUGGCCUUCCUUGUGGAUAAUCUUCAGUACUAUCUGCAGGUGGAUGUGCUGGAGUCUCAGUUCUCACAGCUUCUGCUGCAGAUAAACUCCACUCGGGAUUUUGAGAGCAUCCGAUUGGCUCAUGAUCACUUCCUAAGUAACCUGUUGGCUCAAUCCUUUAUCCUGCUCAAACCUGUUUUCCAUUGCCUGAAUGAAAUCCUGGAUCUCUGUCACAGUUUCUGUUCUCUGGUCAGUCAGAAUUUGGGCCCAUUGGAUGAGCGUGGAGCUGCACAGCUGAGCAUCCUGGUAAAGGGCUUCAGCCGUCAGUCCUCGCUCCUCUUCAAGAUUCUCUCCAGCGUUCGCAACCACCAGAUAAACUCCGACUUGGCUCAGCUGCUGCUCCGCCUGGACUACAACAAAUACUACACCCAGGCUGGGGGGACUUUGGGCAGUUUUGGGGUUUGAGCACCUAGACCAGUUUUUUUGGCUGAGAACUAGCACACAGCAAGAUGUAGCAAGGACAACAACUGCUGCUGCAUAUGAAAAGAGACAGAAGAUAGCCAAAAGCAAACAGGUCUCUUCUGCACUUAAGCCUGCAACUAAAGAAGCCUGGGAGGCUAAUAGAAAAUAUCUAACAGAUUAAUAGAAAAGGGACACAAUACAUCAUGCUGUGGAGGUCAUGGCCACAGGAGCAGAUUACAAGACAGUUUAGCAGAGGUUUUUGUUUUAAAAUGGUUUGGUCUUCAAACUAUUAGAUCAGAAGAAAGUGGGGCCCGAGGGAUGGGGGGGGGUAGAGAGCGAUCAAGCUGGGCAGGCUCACACACACAUCUCCAAUCACAUCACUUUCCUGCAGCAGAGAGGAGGCUUUUCCUUCAUCAGUGUCUCAGCUGGUUGUUGCAGCACCUCUGAUCAUCCUUCUGCCAGCUAUGGAUUAUAUGAGGUCUUGGUAUCGGAGUGCAGCUGACUAAGGCCUGUGUGUCACUGUGUGGUAACUGCUUGGUUGUGUGAUGGGGGCCAGAUGCUGCACUGUUCCUGCAGAGGAAAUGGCUUGCCUCAUACCUGGAAUCUUAAAAGUAGGGUUGUCAAUCACACUUAACACCUGUGAUAAACUGAAAACAAAAUUAAUGCAUUAAUCACAUACCUCUAGGGAGGGAAGGAGACAUGGACA